GGCCCACAGCUGCCCCCGGGCUCGAGCCAGGGGCAGCACAGCUCUGCUGAUGGUCUCCUUCUCUGGGACCCUGUUGGGGAUGGAAGCCAGGGUCAGGGUGUGUGCUGCUCCUUGUUCCUACCCACCAUGGGCCAUGCACACACAGUGCAGAGAGAGCCCAGGGUUCCAGGGUGGGCCCCCACGGGGAUGCCCUCUGCGCCCACAGCACUCCACUAAGAAACAGGGGGUGCUCAGGCCCACCAGGCUCCCCUCUCCUGGGGCACUUCUCUUCAGGGCUAUCUCUCACCCUGGCUCUGCUGGCCUGGCCCCCCACCUCCUUCAGGCCUGGUCACGGAAGCGUCUGUCCCUCAGGGAAAUCUUCCUGGACAGACCUGACUUCCAGCUGUGCUGAGGGAAGCUGCGGCUGUCAACGAGAACAGCAGGGCUCACGCCACCCCCAUCCCCACCCGCAAGCUAUGUGGCCCUGGACAAGCUGCUUGCCUUCUCUGAGCCACCAGUCCUCGUCUGCAGCACUGGAUAAGAGGGUGGCAGUGGGGAUGACGUGCGCUGCAGGGGCUGCUGACCUGGCUGGCUCUUCCCUUGCUUCCAGAAGAGGGACAUCCCUCAGUGCCCUUCACUUUGGAGGGUUUGAGACCCCUCCUGAACGCCCUGAUCUUGCCUUGCCCAUGGAUGACCCUGAGCACUUUGUGGCCUCUCUCCCUCUCUCUGCUCGAGUCCCUGCCCUCCGCCUGCUUUGUGACCACCAGCGCCUGGCACAAACAAGCCGCCCUCCCACCGGCCAUAUGAGCGGCCCCUCACCGGGCC
Non-coding RNA from Odocoileus virginianus texanus, 804 nucleotides. The record is from RefSeq and is a predicted model, not a curated record. NCBI's taxonomy places the organism in Eukaryota, Metazoa, Chordata, Mammalia, Artiodactyla, Cervidae.